This 253-nucleotide ribosomal RNA is filed under the name uncultured bacterium. Its description in RNAcentral is "partial 16S ribosomal RNA". It matches the Rfam family "Bacterial small subunit ribosomal RNA", at positions 524 to 776 of the family's 1533-position model. The record is from RNAcentral.
UACGGAGGGUGCAAGCGUUAUCCGGAUUCACUGGGUUUAAAGGGUGCGUAGGCGGGCAGGUAAGUCAGUGGUGAAAUCUUCAAGCUUAACUUGGAAACUGCCAUUGAUACUAUCUGUCUUGAAUGUUCUGGAGGUUAGCGGAAUAUGUCAUGUAGCGGUGAAAUGCUUAGAUAUGACAUAGAACACCUAUUGCGAAGGCAGCUAACUACGGAAAUAUUGACGCUGAGGCACGAAAGCGUGGGGAUCAAACAGG